Molecule: ribosomal RNA, 1053 nt
Filed under: Triticum aestivum (bread wheat)
Lineage: Eukaryota; Viridiplantae; Streptophyta; Magnoliopsida; Poales; Poaceae
Description: partial small subunit ribosomal RNA
Source: RNAcentral
AUGGCGUUGCCGCUUCACCUAAUGGCAGUGCUUCCUCUGCCGGUCUGGGCGAUCAAGCUCAUAAACAGAAGGUGUCGGGGUUUCAUAUGGAAAGUGGAGGAGGCCAUAAGUGGUGGGCACUGUCUAGUGCCAUGGGCGCAAGUCUACACGCCCAAGGAAUGUGGUGGGCUUGGUGUACUCAAUUUGCGAAGGUUUGGUUUGGCUAUGCGAUGUAGAUGGCCUUGGUUGAUGUGGGAUGAGAACCCCAGGCCGUGGCAUCUGCUGCCGGACAGUAAAGAAAAGGAGGUCACGGCGAUGUUCAGCGCUGCUACAACUAUUUCUCUCGGCGACGGGAGUGCGAGGUUCUGUACGGACAAUUGGUUGGCCUUGCAUAAUCAAUCUUGGAUAAGAGAAAUCGAAGGCGGCAUAUCUGUGCAGGCGCUCGCCCAGUACCUGUCCGUCUGGGAUAUGGUGCAGGCCACCAACCUUACGCCAGGUGCGCGGGAUCGGGCAAUCUGGAAGCUUACUAAGGAACAAGUUUUUACGGUCAGCAGCGCGUACAGAUUGCUCUUCAUGGCUAAUGUGCGUUUUGCAUGCAACAAACCAAUCUGGAGGUCAAAGGCUCCCCCACGGUGCAAGUUCUUCAUGUGGCUGGCCGUUCAUGGCAAAUGCCUGACAGCAAACAACCUUCUUCGCCGCGGAUGGCCUGCUAAUGCAUCCUGCCCCCUCUGUCUGUCGGAACCCAAGACCUGUACGCAUUUGUUUGUGCAUUGCCGAUACACGCAGCAGCUUUGGGGAUUGCUCAAGCGCAGGUUUGGGGCUCGCUUCAUCACGCCAGAGGGCAGUUUUAGCGGCAUUGAGGAGUGGUGGCUCCAGGCCAGAGCCAGCGUACCUAAGCCGAUCCGUCGCAACUUCGACACUAUUACUAUCCUCAUGCACUGGAGGCUGUGGAAGGAGAGGAACUCCAGGAUUUUUGACCAGGUGGCAAGCAGCGCAGAGAGGGUGCUGGAUUUGGUCUGCGAGGAUAUUGCUAUUUGGCGUGCCGCCGGUUGUAUUGUUGAGCUCGGAGCCUAA